RNAcentral lists this long non-coding RNA (221 nucleotides) under Carica papaya (papaya). RNAcentral describes it as "long non-coding RNA (CPAP_LNC002970)". The record is from RNAcentral. Lineage: Eukaryota; Viridiplantae; Streptophyta; Magnoliopsida; Brassicales; Caricaceae.
GGCACUAAAAAUACUAGAAGUUACCUGUUUGUCACGAACUCGCAAUGUUAACUUAUCAUCAUGCACAUCAAUCAAUGUUUUACUCGCUUCAAAAAAGGGUCUUCCAAGUAUGAAUGAAACUUCUCUAUCAACUUCCAUAUCAAAAACCAUAAAGUCGAUAGGGAAUAUGAAGUUCUCCAUCUUUACUAGCAAAUCCUACACUAUUCCUAAGAGGUAUCUCA